Molecule: ribosomal RNA, 245 nt
Filed under: uncultured Desulfoprunum sp.
Lineage: Bacteria; Pseudomonadati; Thermodesulfobacteriota; Desulfobulbia; Desulfobulbales; Desulfobulbaceae
Description: partial 16S ribosomal RNA
Rfam family: Bacterial small subunit ribosomal RNA
Source: RNAcentral
UACGGAGGGUGCGAGCGUUGUUCGGAAUUACUGGGCGUAAAGCGCGCGUAGGCGGUUUGCUAAGUCAGAUGUGAAAGCCCUCGGCUCAACCGGGGACGUGCAUUUGAAACUGGCAGACUUGAGUACUGGAGGGGGUGGUGGAAUUCCCGGUGUAGAGGUGAAAUUCGUAGAUAUCGGGAGGAAUACCGGUGGCGAAGGCGACCACCUGGCCAGAUACUGACGCUGAGGUGCGAAAGCGUGGGGAG